Molecule: long non-coding RNA, 1499 nt
Filed under: Olea europaea subsp. europaea
Lineage: Eukaryota; Viridiplantae; Streptophyta; Magnoliopsida; Lamiales; Oleaceae
Source: RNAcentral
UUAUAUUGACAAAUUUUAUUUUCUAUAUCUUUGUAGGAACAAAAUGCCCCAAAAAUGAAAAGCCAUAGCUCAAGGGAAAGGAUAGUCUAAAGUUGGCAAGACAUCAACCCGUUGUCAGAUGGCAAACAAAAUCUUGACGAAUGAGGAUAUACAGCGAUUUUUAAAUGUUGAAAACCGUGAGAAUUUUGAGGCGAAGUGGAAGGACAAAAAUCUAUAUCAAGACAGGCGGGUUAUAGUUGGUGACUUUCAGGGAACUCUACUGAAAAGAAUUAUACAACCAUGUCGUUGGGAAAAACUGGUUGGAACUCCUCAUACGACAUAUCCCUUUUUGGUUAAGGAGUUCUUCGCCCUUCAACACAGAGAUUGAUACCCCAGAGUCUCCCCUCAGAAAUCAGACAUGGAUUAGAGGAAAGUGGAUUCGGCUCAGCCCAGCAGUGAGUGAUAGAUAUUAUGAGUUGAACCACGCUCACGUACAGCCCCUAUCGGUUGAGCUAGUUCAUACAUUUCAUUUCAUGCAUUACAAGUUGACCCUGGAAUUAAGAAUAUUGCAUGUCAUUUUCUGCGUCAACAUCUAUCCUACAUCCCAGCAGACAAAGUUCAAUGAAGAAAGGGCUCGACUACUUUAUCAUCUGGCAAGAGUGCAGAAGUUUGACUUGGGAUCCCACAUAUAUGCAUUUAUAUAGACGUUGGCAUGUCUAUCGAUUCUGGUGCAGUAUAAUGUUUUCGUGCUUGAUUAGUAGGAUCAACUUCACAGCCAGGUACCACUUUUUCCAAGAGAAUAAAGUACUGUUCCAUAGGACCCAAUCAAUAGGAAAAUAAAUGAAAAUUCAAAAGCUAGGCUGAGAGGAGCGAACGAGCACAUAAUCUCAAGCAGGUAUCUCGACCACCACAGCAAGCUCCAUAUGCUAACACAAUCCUCCUAAGUAGGCAGUUGUUUUAGAUGCAAGUAACCCAGGUGGAUCUGGGUGGAUCAAUUGGCCGUAUAACAAAUGUGUUAGAAGCGAUGUAGCUAACAUAGCUAGACAUGCAAAAAGAGCCGCUAAGAGUGAGUGGCCUGGCACGUGGGUUCCACAAAAGUGAUAAUAGAACACGACAUGAUUAGAGAACCAUCACGUAUGCUUACAAUUAGGUGCACGAGCAGAUGCUAUGCUUCGGGAGUUGACAUGAGACGAUUGACAGUAAUGUCGCCCAGAUAGCAAGAACCAUUGAAUCUUUGAGGCCCACAACUUUUGCGAUCUUGCUGGACGAUCUUUCUACUCAUCCACAUCAUCCCUGGGGAGAUCCUUGUUCUUUACUCAUUUAUUUUGAUUUUGAUUUUGUUUUUGUUUUUACAUUGAAGACAAUGUAAUAGUUUUGUUUAGUGGUGGGUAAGUAUUAAGGUAUUUAGUGUAACACCCCGAACUUUUUUUAAUUAUUGUUCAUAUGGGCCUGAACUUCAUGUGGGCCACUUAGCAAAUGAAAUAAUUUAUGUUUAAAUUUGUCGUCACACUAAAAGUCCA